Molecule: long non-coding RNA, 2014 nt
Organism: Canis lupus familiaris (dog)
Lineage: Eukaryota; Metazoa; Chordata; Mammalia; Carnivora; Canidae
Exons: 7
Source: RefSeq, a predicted model, not a curated record
UCUCCUCCGCCCAUCUCUCCCUCCCACCUGCCCCUCCUCUUCCUAUUCCAGAGUAAGGCCUCUCUAUACAAGUUUCUAGAAUGGUGCUGUCCAGGAGCGGUAGCCGCUAGCCACAGACGGCCAUUCAUACUUAAAUUUUUACCAGGUCAGCGCUUGAGGAGAGCGGCUGUCAAACCAGGAGGGAGCCCCUGGCCGUGACCCCCCUCCCCCUAUGGUGUCUGCAACCACAGGGCCGCAAGCCACACACCCUGGCUCUCUCUCCACCCCAGCUUAUCCCCAGAGCCCCUCGAGACGUCGCCUGGCUCCCACAUACCACUCAGGUCUCAGCUCCGAUGCCACCAGCAGUCGAUGUCACAUCACCCUGUUUAGUUUACAGGGCACUCAUCGCCAUCAGCAGUUUUCUUGUUUACGGCACGUCUCACUGGAAUGUGAGUGGCGGGAGGACAGGUCACCUGAUGUGUUCGCUGGUAUCUACUGUGGGGCCCAGAAAGUUCUUGGCACACAGCUGAUGAAUGUCAGAUGAAUGUCACCUCUCCUCGGAGUAUCUUUUUAGGGACUUCAGGAAAUCCAAUGAUAAAUCCAACAGAAGAAGAGCUUAUGACGAGGCUUUAUGGAAUCCUGAAAUAAAAAAUAAGUCUUUGGUCAUGGAAGAGUGAAGGCCGGUUGAGACUCCACUACAUAAAAUGCUGCUGUCCCUAAUCCUCUGCGGCUGGUACCCCAAGCACCUCGACACCGGUGAUAGGAGAAGGAAGUCAAACCCACAUACAGUCUCACAAGGGGUUUUGCUCUACGUGCAGAGUCUGGAGCCAGAGAGCUUAGUUCUAAAUUCUGACUCUGCGGCCUUCUAGCCAUGUGACCUGGGGCCUGACCUGAAGAGCAGUAUGGCCCUGGGGCCCUUGUCCGAGAAACUAUUCCCAAGUCUGAUGUAAACACAGACGUACGUGCAAGCCACAAGAGCAUGCUUCAGUGACUAGAUAAGGCAAUGUCUCAGUCCAUUUGGUCCGCUGUUACAGAAUACCAUAGACUGGGUGCUGAUAAACAACAGAAAUUGUUCUGGAGGCUGGAAAGUCCAAGAUGAAGCCUCCAGCACCUUCAGUGUCUGGAGUUGAGUUAUCCUUUAAUUACCUGGACUUGCUGGUUGGAGUUGUUGUGUUCACUGAAGCCUUGCUCAUGUUGGCUAUUGACCUCAAUGUGGCUCUUGACUAGAACCUACAUUAAGAAGGAAAAUUCUGUGGGUCAGAAUGUGGCACCGCAGGAGCGCCGGCCUAUAGCACCUGCUUUUGACCUGAUGGACCUCUGCAGACACCUUCCCUUCAACUUCUACCAGCCUAAGCCCCAUGCAAAGGUUCCAGAUGGUGCUCAAGGCAAGAAUGUUUCUCAAAACAGGGGACUGCAGGUGUGGGUAGAGCAAUCAGAGAGGCUUUGGGCAUAGCUACUGCCUCUAGAAAGGAGGGCAGGAGUGGAGUUAUCCUUUGGAGGUAAAAACCUCACUGUCAGGUGACACACUCAUGAAUUUAGGAAGAACUACCUUGAUUCUGAUCUUGCCUGUCACUUCUUUAUGAUUCCAACUGUGUUGUGGUUCCCGACUCUCCCUGGGGAGGAGGUCUGUGUGCUUUUGGGGGGCGGGGGGAGAGGAGGUUUGCAUCAAGACUCAGUUUAUAAUCCCAGCAAAGGGCCGAGGUAGACUUCUGGUGACCCAGACACUUGAGGUGAUGAGUGUGGUCCACAGGAGGUGUCCACAGGAGCAGCAUGCACAUGGUACCAACUUACGAAGUUGAAUGAGUUUAUCAAUGGACAGGCUAGGGAACUGUUAAACUCCCCUAAAAGAAGAGGGUGAGAACUCUUGAUUCUUUUUCCUUCAUACUUGGUUGUUUUUUUAUUCGAUUAUGAAUUUUUUUUAUGGAGAGAGUCUUCUGUUCUUAUUCCGUUUGCAUCACCACAUGUGCCAGGUUUUACUACAGCCUUAGAGCUUAACCCUAAAUAAAAAAGAAACCCUUUUGUAUAUUAAAAGAAA